Molecule: non-coding RNA, 75 nt
Organism: Galeopterus variegatus (Sunda flying lemur)
Lineage: Eukaryota; Metazoa; Chordata; Mammalia; Dermoptera; Cynocephalidae
Source: the annotation of a RefSeq genome assembly
GGCUGGUUAGCUCAGUUGGUUAGAGCAUGGUGCUGAUAACACCAAGGUCAAGGGUUCGGAUCCCCAUAUGGGCCA